Salvia splendens (bonfire salvia) is the source of this 547-nucleotide long non-coding RNA. RefSeq lists it as uncharacterized. The transcript is spliced from 2 exons. NCBI's taxonomy places the organism in Eukaryota, Viridiplantae, Streptophyta, Magnoliopsida, Lamiales, Lamiaceae. The record is from RefSeq and is a predicted model, not a curated record.
UCCAUUCAAUAAAAUUUCUUUUCUCCAAAAUUACUCUCUCAAUACUCUCCGAUCAAACACACAUACACUCAAGAUUCACACACACACAAAAGUUUACGAUUGCAAUAUGGGAAACUCUUCCCUUAAUUACUGAUACAUUAGCUCAUUGUUAGUCUUUUCCCUAUGCAAGAGAUUUGAAUGUGGGAAAUUUGAGGCUGUUUACAAUAUGAAUGUUCAGAGUCAUAUUGUGAUCUCUUCCUUGCGUGGAUAUGUCAACGGCAAAAUCUUGAAACUCGUCUAGGGACUUUUUUCGCCAUACUAGGUGGAAUUUUAUUCCUUCCCGGAUUCUACUAUACACGGAUUGCAUACUAUGCGUACAAAGGUUACAAAGGAUUCUCCUUUGCCAACAUACCUCCCGUCUAGCUAUGUUUUGCCACUCUCAUAACACUGUACAUAUACCUCUCUGUUCUUCGUUGCUUCGAUGUUCUCUUUUGUAUCCAUUGUGUUUGUGUUUCUGUAAAUUGUGACAGUGUACAUGUAUAAAUAAUCUAAAUUUUGUGUCUCUAUA